UACGGAGGGUGCAAGCGUUGCUCGGAAUUAUUGGGCGUAAAGGGUAGGUAGGUGGUCUCAUUUGUCUGGGGUGAAAGCCUUGGGCUUAACUCAAGAAGUGCCCCAGAAACGGUGAGACUGGAGUCCUGGAGAGGGUCGUGGAAUUCCCGGUGUAGCGGUGAAAUGCGUAGAGAUCGGGAGGAACACCAGAGGCGAAAGCGGCGACCUGGACAGGAACUGACACUCAACUACGAAAGCGUGGGGAGCAAACAGGG
This 254-nucleotide ribosomal RNA is filed under the name uncultured bacterium. RNAcentral describes it as "partial 16S ribosomal RNA". It matches the Rfam family "Bacterial small subunit ribosomal RNA", at positions 524 to 777 of the family's 1533-position model. The record is from RNAcentral.